CACGUAUAGGAGGUCUUGCCUGCCCAGUGACAAGUUAAACGGCCGCGGUAUUUUGACCGUGCGAAGGUAGCGCAAUCACUUGUCUUUUAAAUGAAGCCCUGUAUGAAUGGUGGAACGAGGGCUUAACUGUCUCCCCUUUCAAGUCAAUGAAAUUGAUCUGCCCGUGCAGAAGCGGACAUAAAACUACAAGACGAGAAGACCCUUUGGAGCUUAAGACUUAAGAUCAACUAUGUCAAGAAUCCAAAACAAAAUUAAACUAAAUAGCACCUGAUCCCUGUCUUCGGUUGGGGCGACCGCGGGAGAAAACAAAGCUCCCACGCGGACCGGGAUAACAUCCUAAAACUAAGAGAGACAUCUCUAAGUCACAGAACUUCUGACCACAAAGAUCCGGCACUAUGCCGAUCAACGGACCAAGUUACCCUAGGGAUAACAGCGCAAUCCCCUUUAAGAGUCCAUAUCGACAAGGGGGUUUACGACCUCGAUGUUGGAUCAGGACAUCCUAAUGGUGCAGCCGCUAUUAAGGGUUCGUUUGUUCAACGAUUAAAGUCCUACGUGAUCUGAGUUCAGACCGGA
Molecule: ribosomal RNA, 573 nt
Rfam family: Bacterial large subunit ribosomal RNA